Molecule: long non-coding RNA, 2260 nt
Filed under: Sus scrofa (pig)
Lineage: Eukaryota; Metazoa; Chordata; Mammalia; Artiodactyla; Suidae
Description: lncRNA (ENSSSCG00005011157.1)
Source: RNAcentral
CCUGCCACAUAUGGAUAUUCCCCAGCUAGGGUUCAAAUCAGAGCUGCAGCUGCCGGCCUACACCCCAGCCACAGCAAUGCCAGAUCCUUAACCCACUGAGUGAGGCCAGGGGUCGAACCCAUAUCCUCAUGGACACUAUGUCAGGUCCUUAACCUGCUGAGCCACAACGGGAACUCCUGUUUAUUGCUAAAUCGCGAGUGAAGGAUACAGCCAGUCUAGGGGCCCAGGGGCCAUGCUGAGGCUGGAGCUGCAGGGCUUCUGAGGAAGGGGCCUGAGGGAAACCAGAAUCCCCCCAACUCUUCCUUCUUGGAAGCAGGAGGGUCUAUCUAAGCAGACACGGGUCUGUCCUCUCCCACUGGAGAACAUUUCAAAUAGAUGUUGGGUAAAUAUCUCCAGAAUCCCUGAGCCAAAACAGACCCUCCUAAUGCGUGUUCCGUGUAACACCCGUCCUGCAAGAAGCUUAUCGUGCAAAGGCCAAGCAGCUCUGCAGAGUUUGACCUACCGUAGCGCACAGGGAAUUAUAGUCAAUAUCUUGUAAUCACUUUUAAUGGAAAAGAAUCUGAAAAAGAACAUCGACAUAUGUGUUCGUAUAACUGAAUCCCUCUGACGUACACUUGAAACUAUCACCGCACUGGAAAUUAACUAGACCUCGAUAACUUAAAAAAUUCAGUAAGAUGAAUGGAGGGAUUGGCCCAAGGCCAACUCUACCCGGUGUUCUGUGACAAUGCGAGAAGAAUCUGAAAGAGAAUGGAUGUGUGCACAUGUGUCACUGAAUCACUUUGUGGAGCGGCAGAAUGUCUUACAAGGUUGCAAAUCAACUAUAUGUCAGUAAAACUUUAAAAAAUGAAAAAAAACAUAAAAAUGAAAAACUCAGUAAGUAUCUGGCAUCCUGUUUAACGGGUAACCAAUGGAGCCUCCUUAGGGAACUUGAGGCAGGAGUGUCCUUCCCGGGUCUACCCCCCCUCCUGCCCCCCCUUCUCCCUCCCCCCAUCUCACAUCUGAUUGGUUCCCACCAUCCUGAGAAGGGGGGGCUCAAAGCACGGAGGGCGGAAGAAACGUGUCCGACAAAGCACACAUUCCUUGAAAAGAAUCCGUUAACCUCAUUUGGCAAAUUCCUCACUUUCUUUAAAUGUGUCCAAGAUCAGAGGAAGUCAAGGGUGGGGGGGACUAGAAAUUUAACUGAGGAUGAAAUGCAAUCACUUCAUUUCUUUACACUGGUUGCCUGAAUUUUAUCUUCAUUCCCACAGUGGGUGACUUUGAGGCUGGAGACGUUCACACAACGCUGGAGCCCCCUCAAAAUGUAGGAAGACCUCGGACCACUCCCUCUGAGCUAAAGACAAGGGCUUAUGGACAGCAGGCCGCUGUCUCCACCUCCCGGCCAUCCCACUUUGGCCAGGCCAAUCCUGCUUCUCCAUGGUCCUUCAGAGAAGGUUGGCCUCCUAGAACCCACGGCUGUCCCAGCAAGGAGGGAGGGGAGAGGGCACCCGGCUGCCCUGAACCACUGACUGCAGCAGCUUCAAUUAGGCGCAGGGGUGUGGAGGCUCAGGGCCAGCUCGGGAACCCCCGUGCCUCCCCUCUUGCCUGCCUGUGAAGGGCUCAUUACUGAGAUGGCAAAAUCUUAUUCUGGCUUUAGACGCGUUCUUCCAACUUAAGAAAGGAUUACUGUGUUUUUGAUAUCACAAUUAAAAUGGAUCCGUAGGGAGAACUCAUGAUUGAUCCUUGAACUCCUGUGCUGAUCUGUUGAAAGAGCAAAAAUAGGCCUCGAGCAGAAACCCUGAACCACUGAGAUCAAUAUCAGAGCCCUGCCAGUGCCAUGGCUGCAGGCUUCCUGGGCAGGAUGAGGCUGGCAAUUAAAGGAAGGGGCUUGGUGGGAGUUCCCGCUGUGGCUCAGUGGGUAACAAAUCUGACUAGCAUCCAUGAGGGCACAGGUUCAACCCCUGGCCUUGCUCAGUGGUGGGAGCCACUAGCCUGGGAAACUCUAUAUGCCGAAGGUGCGGCCCUAAAGAAAAAAAAAAAAAAAAAAGUACCACUAAAGGAAGGGGCUUGGCGUGAACACCUCACCGGGGACAUGUGACCUUGACUGCCAAGUGAACAAACAAGUGUCCUUGGGGCCGUCAACACCCUCACCGCUUCUUUGGCAAAAAUGUCUGCAAGGACCUCGGCUACCAAGACAAAAGCCAUCUUGCUAAAUUGAAACAAAGCUCAGUGAAACCAGGUUGGCCAUGGAAGAGUGAUUUUUCUUUUUUUUUCUUUUUUUUUU